This 327-nucleotide ribosomal RNA is filed under the name uncultured eukaryote. RNAcentral's name for it is "partial 18S ribosomal RNA". It matches the Rfam family "Eukaryotic small subunit ribosomal RNA", at positions 1470 to 1796 of the family's 1831-position model. The record is from RNAcentral.
CCCUUAGAUGUCCGGGGCCGCACGCGCGCUACAAUGGAUGAAUCAACGCGUCAUCCUGGCCCGAAAGGGUUGGGGAACCGCUGAACCUCAUCCGUGGUUGGGAUUGGGGUUUGUAAUUACUCCCCAUGAACUAGGAAUUCCCAGUAAGCGCGAGUCAUAAGCUCGCGUUGAUUACGUCCCUGCCCUUUGUACACACCGCCCGUCGCUACUACCGAUUGGAUGGUUUAGUGAGAUCCUCGGAUUGGUCACGGCACGGUGGCAACACUGCGUCGGUGUGCCGAGAAGACGAUCAAACUUGAUCAUCUAGAGGAAGUAAAAGUCGUAACA